This 255-nucleotide ribosomal RNA is filed under the name uncultured bacterium. RNAcentral's name for it is "partial 16S ribosomal RNA". It matches the Rfam family "Bacterial small subunit ribosomal RNA", at positions 524 to 775 of the family's 1533-position model. The record is from RNAcentral.
UACAGGGGGUGCAAACGUUGCUCGGAAUCAUUGGGCGUAAAGCGCACGUAGGCGGUUCGUUAUGUCGGAUGUGAAAGCCCUUGGCUUAACCGAGGAAGUGCAUCCGAAACUGGCGAGCUAGAGUACGAAAGAGGAUCGCGGAAUUCCCGGUGUAGAGGUGAAAUUCGUAGAUAUCGGGAGGAACACCGGUGGCGAAGGCGGCGAAUCUGGGUCGAUACUGACGCGUGAGGUGGCGAAAGCGUGGGGAGCAACAGG